CCUACGGGUGGCUGCAGUGGGGAAUCUUGCGCAAUGCGCGAAAGCGUGACGCAGCAACACCGCGUGAGGGAAGACGGCCUUAGGGUUGUAAACCUCUUUCAGAUGGGACGAAGGUCAUCCGGUGAAUAGCCGCGAUGGUUGACGGUACCGUCAGAAGAAGCUCCGGCUAACUACGUGCCAGCAGCCGCGGUAAUACGUAGGGAGCGAGCGUUGUCCGGAAUCAUUGGGGGCAAAGAGCGCGUAGUGCGGUGAAAGUCAAAGGCUCACCCUUUGAAAGCCGGCGGAUACUGAUGAUCUAGAGUACGGAAGAGGCGAGUGGAAUUCCUGGUGUAGCGGUGGAAUGCGCAGAUAUCAGGAGGAACACCAAUAGCGAAGGCAGCUCGCUGGGACGUUACUGACGCUGAGGCGCGAAAGCGUGGGGAGCAAACAGGAUUAGAUACCCCGGUAGUC
RNAcentral lists this ribosomal RNA (450 nucleotides) under uncultured bacterium. RNAcentral's name for it is "partial 16S ribosomal RNA". It matches the Rfam family "Bacterial small subunit ribosomal RNA", at positions 338 to 795 of the family's 1533-position model. The record is from RNAcentral.